This 879-nucleotide long non-coding RNA is filed under the name Salmo salar (Atlantic salmon). RNAcentral's name for it is "lncRNA (ENSSSAG00000091741.1)". Lineage: Eukaryota; Metazoa; Chordata; Actinopteri; Salmoniformes; Salmonidae. The record is from RNAcentral.
CCUUUAUGAGGUGCAACCAAAACAGCUGUUUGACAUAGCAACAGGGAUAUUCGGUCAAGGUGUCUCUCUAGCAUUUGUUCUUAAUACCGUUGUGGUUUUGAUCACUAAAAUGGCUGUGACUUUUGGACUCUCGUUGAGGUAAUUCUAAUGGGCAUCAUGCCUACACUGGACCUGAACCAACUGGAUCCUAUGCCAAAGCAAGUGUGGUGCCUAGUCCAAAUGCUAAAGCUACUGGCCACAAUGCCACGUCAGCAGAAGCUACUGGCCACAAUGCCACGUCAGCAGAAGCUACUGGCCACAAUGCCACGCCAGCAGAAUCUACUGGCCACAAUGCCCCGUCAAGUGUGAAGUCCGGCCCCAGCGCCUCAGCAGAAGCGUCCGGCCCCGGCGCCUCAGCAGAAGCGUCCGGCGCCUCAGCAGAAGCGUCCGGCCCCGGCGCCUCAGCAGAAGCGUCCGGCGCCUCAGCAGAAGCGUCCGGCCCCGGCGCCUCAGCAAUAGCGUCCGGCGCCUCAGCAAUAGCGUCCGGCCCCGGCGCCUCAGCAAUAGCGUCCGGCGCCUCAGCAGAAGCGUCCGGCCCCGGCGCCUCAGCAGAAGCGUCAAGCCUUGAACAGACCGCCCGACCACUCAACUAGGGGAGAUCAUAAUUUGGUUUGCAUAACUCCUUAAUUGUUGUUCCCCUGUUACUGUGCCUCCCUUUAGAAGAAAAGGUAACUGAGGUGGGGAAAUGUGCCAACUAAGGCUCUUGUUUGAAAUGAGGAUCUCCUUCACUUGUCCAGCGUCAUGCAAAUUGUUUACAGGGGUGGACGCUACAAUGGUAUAAAUGGUUUUUAUAACCAUACGACUAAAAUUGACUUCUGACUUGCCAAUAUUGCUGACACA